AAGACCAGUUCAGCACCCUAUAGGGGCACUACAACGAUUGAAAUGUAAACCAGGAGCGAGAUUCCUGUUCGCUGGCGUCGCAUCUGAUGUUGAUUCCAGUUGAAAUGGUACUCCAUGGGAAGCCUCUUAUGAUGUCUUCUCUGAGAAGAGGAAGGUUGUGUGCAUAUGUUCAGUUAAAUCUGGGCUCUCAGAUGGCAUCUCCUCAGAGCGUAUUUCCAUUAUUACUUAUGUGGAACCAAAUCUUGCAGUCAUGAUAGCAGUGGGAAAAAAGUCAAGUUUAAUUUCGUCGUGAGGCUAGAUGCGGCUGUCUGUUUCUAUUUUUCUUUCUUCUGCCUGACUUUGCAUUUUUUGCCUGAGUAGAAUCUAAGUAAACUUCAUUGCCUACUAAGCGCUGUGCAGAACGAGG
This 406-nucleotide long non-coding RNA is filed under the name Struthio camelus australis. RNAcentral describes it as "lncRNA (ENSSCUG00000011515.1)". Lineage: Eukaryota; Metazoa; Chordata; Aves; Struthioniformes; Struthionidae. The record is from RNAcentral.